UCCCUGGUGGUCUAGUGGUUAGGAUUCAGCACUUUCACUGCUCUGGCCCUGGGUUCAAUUCUUAGUCUGGGAA
Molecule: transfer RNA, 73 nt
Filed under: Sus scrofa (pig)
Lineage: Eukaryota; Metazoa; Chordata; Mammalia; Artiodactyla; Suidae
Rfam family: tRNA
About the family: Transfer RNA (tRNA) molecules are approximately 80 nucleotides in length. Their secondary structure includes four short double-helical elements and three loops (D, anti-codon, and T loops).
Source: Rfam by way of RNAcentral